AGGAUAGAUCUGUGAUCGAUAAGCAGACGUGGAAUAGCUGAUGGAGAGCUUUGGCCCCUGAUUGGCUACUGAUUUGAGAUGGGGAUGUUCAGAGCCCAGAUUGUGCUGGCUUCUCUGUGCUUUCAAGGACACAGGGAGAUGAUGAGGACUUUGGGAGCUAACAUCUGCCUGGCUGAUGACGUCAGCGGUCCCGUGUAAUCCUCUUGUGCUAAAGGCAGUUGCCUUAUUUGUUUGGCUGUAUUGCCAUUAAUCCCUAAUUCUGGAUCAGCAAGCGAGGGGAAAAGACCGCACCACUGCAUCGUCAUUGCCAAAAAUAUCAAGAGAUGCUCCCAUUUUGCAGCUAAGGCUUGGUGACUGAGCUACAAUGCCUCCUUCCCUCUCUGGUACUGACUAACAUGGAUCCCUGGGCUUGAGAAGCGGAUCACUCCUUACAUUGUGGUGUCAUUGUAACAUUUGGAAAUGAAACCUUACGGAUCCACCCAUUCCCAUGACUGAAAGUGGGUCUGCAGCUGACAGAUAUGUCAUUUCCCAGUCUUCGUCCUGAUGCCAUAGCACAGAUCCACCAAUAGAGGUCAACCUUGCCCAGUUCUAGGGCUUUCCUUACUGCCCACAAAUUGACUCCAGAAUGGUUAAUGUCCUCUUUACCAUCUCCACUUCUCCUCGACUUACUUCUCACAGUGAGAAUCAAUAUGGAUGCCACAUCAGUUUAAGCAUUUAAAGGGCAGUGAAAGGCGUAGAUUCCUCAAUUCCUUUUUUUUUUUUUUUUUUUUUUUGUACGAACAGAGCAACUGUAGCCAGGCCAUAUGGACUGUACGUACUCGCUAGGGAAUGGGCAGGUGCGAUUGAGUUAUUUUUGCUUCCCAUUAUAAGGAAAGACAACUCGUCCAGACCUUUCCUUUUAAGUUCAUCUGUUCAAAAGAGGACUCAA
Long non-coding RNA from Pelobates fuscus (common spadefoot toad), 928 nucleotides. RefSeq lists it as uncharacterized. Lineage: Eukaryota; Metazoa; Chordata; Amphibia; Anura; Pelobatidae. The transcript has 2 exons. The record is from RefSeq and is a predicted model, not a curated record.